GGCUUCAUAGCUCAGUUGGUACAGUAUCGCACGGGUAACGCGGAGGUCACGGGUUCAAAUCCCGUUCAGAAGCCA
RNAcentral lists this transfer RNA (75 nucleotides) under Desmophyllum pertusum. RNAcentral describes it as "tRNA-Thr". It matches the Rfam family "tRNA". Rfam says of the family: Transfer RNA (tRNA) molecules are approximately 80 nucleotides in length. Their secondary structure includes four short double-helical elements and three loops (D, anti-codon, and T loops). Further hydrogen bonds mediate the characteristic L-shaped molecular structure. tRNAs have two regions of fundamental functional importance: the anti-codon, which is responsible for specific mRNA codon recognition, and the 3' end, to which the tRNAs corresponding amino acid is attached (by aminoacyl-tRNA synthetases). tRNAs cope with the degeneracy of the genetic code in two manners: having more than one tRNA (with a specific anti-codon) for a particular amino acid; and 'wobble' base-pairing, i.e. permitting non-standard base-pairing at the 3rd anti-codon position. The record is from RNAcentral. Lineage: Eukaryota; Metazoa; Cnidaria; Anthozoa; Scleractinia; Caryophylliidae.